UCCUCGAUAGUCUAGUGGUGAGGAUAUCGGCUUGUCAUUCCACGAUUCGCCGGGGACCGGGGUUCAAUUCCCCGUCGAGGAG
Molecule: non-coding RNA, 82 nt
Organism: Colletotrichum orbiculare MAFF 240422
Lineage: Eukaryota; Fungi; Ascomycota; Sordariomycetes; Glomerellales; Glomerellaceae
Source: Rfam